Molecule: long non-coding RNA, 1489 nt
Organism: Haliotis rufescens (red abalone)
Lineage: Eukaryota; Metazoa; Mollusca; Gastropoda; Lepetellida; Haliotidae
Exons: 3
Source: RefSeq, a predicted model, not a curated record
UGGCCCCUGUCCCUCUGAGUCAAUCACACCUCCCCACCUUGCUGGCGCUGUGCUGUAGACUGGCGGCUUUGUGGGGGUUCUGCUGGCUGGGCGGGUAACACGCCUGUGAAGACAUCCACAUCUAAACUCAUCUCACAACUGUUGGAGUGAAGAAAACUGUCGGAGUAAAGGCAUCUUUACGGUGGAUACAUCUGUUACGUAAUCGCCAUUACCGCGUGACCUCCAGAGAUCCACCCAGCUUCUGUCGCCAUGCCUGUUAUGUGGAAAUGUCCUGGUCAGCCCACCUGCAGGAAGAUAUAUCUCUACACCCGGGGUCUAAAAGCACACAUACCGAGCUGUAAAUAUGCACUCAGAAAAGAAGUCCGCAAGAAACGCGAGGACAUGGAGACGAUGUUGUCCAUCAUCCAGUUCGUGGAGGACCAGCAGAAAGGGAACGUGACGGUAUCCAGGCUGGGUGUGCCCUCAUUCAGGGUGGAGGGGCCUGUGUUCUCGAGGCUCCCCCUGGAGGCGAAGAGGACACGGUUGUCCCGAGUACAGAUGGGAGGGUAUCCAAUACUGGAAGAAAUACAGUCACGUGGUACCCCGGCUACCCGACGAACCCGGAUGUGGCUACCUGGAUAGUUUCCGUCGGAAGAUCUUUACUUUGGAUUCUAUUAACUUUGACAAUAUCAACAAACAAACGCCUCGGUUCCAAGUUAAAUUUCCAGACAUCGAAUACUCAAGUAUAUUUAAAAACACAUGUUUACCUGCAAAGUAAUCCAUUCUUCAAAUGACGCAUUUUCAAGUAUUCGUAAGCAUUUAGAUUUUACAUACUGUGGGUCGAUAUCCUCCACGGGUUCCUCCUAUGUAUUACGAGGGCUGGUAAAAAAAGUUCUAAGCCAAACAAAACCAACAUUUGUGAAAGUGUCGGCAGUCAUCAUUCCUCGCCGCUUUUCUUUGAUGGAGUCUCUGGGGCGAUGAAGCAAAUCAGCAUAGUAGACACCGGUAAUCGUCUUUUGGCUUUCUAAGUACAAGUAGUCACCAAGGAUCACACCCUUUGUGUCCCUGAAUACAUUGGCCAAACUUUCUUCAUUGGCUUGAAUUUCUUUGGUGACGGAGAAGUGGAAUGGUGCCACUCCAUGGAUUGACCUUUUGACUCAGGAUCAUAGUUGGUUAGGCUUAGAACUUUUUGACCAGCCCUCGUAUUGACUCUUUUAGAGCAUUGUGUUAGUAUUAGUUAGUAGAGGCGACUAUCCAUGCAUAUCGCAAUACUGUUGUGAUGAUACUGCAGUAUAUGUAAACUAUUAUAGUAUUAUUACGAUAAUUUAAGAGUCUCUACUAUUCUACAGUGUAGAUUUGGCUGAAGUAUUAGGCACAAUGUCAAAUCUGCUACAUUCUAUAUUCAGCAGACAUAUCUCACUUUGUGAUUUUAGUGAGAUAUGUUUUAUUAGAUUACCGCUUUAACGUUUUCUAGUCCUUUUCUAAUGGAUAAUAAAAUAAAGUAAAUUAU